This 253-nucleotide ribosomal RNA is filed under the name uncultured bacterium. RNAcentral describes it as "partial 16S ribosomal RNA". It matches the Rfam family "Bacterial small subunit ribosomal RNA", at positions 524 to 776 of the family's 1533-position model. The record is from RNAcentral.
UACGGGGGGGGCAAGCGUUGUUCGGAAUUACUGGGCGUAAAGGGUGCGCAGGCGGCGUCGCAAGUCAGGCGUGAAAUCCCCGGGCUUAACCUGGGAACUGCACUUGAAACUACGAUGCUGGAGUAUGGCAGAGGGAGGUGGAAUUCCACGUGUAGCGGUGAAAUGCGUAGAGAUGUGGAGGAACACCGAUGGCGAAGGCAGCCUCCUGGGCCAAUACUGACGCUCAUGCACGAAAGCGUGGGGAGCAAACAGG